RNAcentral lists this ribosomal RNA (460 nucleotides) under uncultured bacterium. RNAcentral describes it as "partial 16S ribosomal RNA". It matches the Rfam family "Bacterial small subunit ribosomal RNA", at positions 338 to 795 of the family's 1533-position model. The record is from RNAcentral.
CCUACGGGAGUCAGCAGUGAGGAAUAUUGGUCAAUGGACGAGAGUCUGAACCAGCCAAGUAGCGUGAAGGAUGACUGCCCUAUGGGUUGUAAACUUCUUUUAUAUGGGAAUAAAAUGUUCCACGUGUGGGAUUUUGUAUGUACCAUAUGAAUAAGGAUCGGCUAACUCCGUGCCAGCAGCCGCGGUAAUACGGAGGAUCCGAGCGUUAUCCGAGUUUAUUGGGUUUAAAGGGAGCGUAGGUGGAUUGUUAAGUCAGUUGUGAAAGUUUGCGGCUCAACCGUAAAAUUGCAGUUGAAACUGGCAGUCUUGAGUACAGUAGAGGUGGGCGGAAUUCGUGGUGUAGCGGUGAAAUGCUUAGAUAUCACGAAGAACUCCGAUUGCGAAGGCAGUUCACUGGACUGCAACUGACACUGAGGCUCGAAAGUGUGGGUAUCAAACAGGAUUAGAUACCCCUGUAGUC